This 87-nucleotide transfer RNA is filed under the name Alphaproteobacteria bacterium. Its description in RNAcentral is "tRNA-Leu". It matches the Rfam family "tRNA". Rfam says of the family: Transfer RNA (tRNA) molecules are approximately 80 nucleotides in length. Their secondary structure includes four short double-helical elements and three loops (D, anti-codon, and T loops). Further hydrogen bonds mediate the characteristic L-shaped molecular structure. tRNAs have two regions of fundamental functional importance: the anti-codon, which is responsible for specific mRNA codon recognition, and the 3' end, to which the tRNAs corresponding amino acid is attached (by aminoacyl-tRNA synthetases). tRNAs cope with the degeneracy of the genetic code in two manners: having more than one tRNA (with a specific anti-codon) for a particular amino acid; and 'wobble' base-pairing, i.e. permitting non-standard base-pairing at the 3rd anti-codon position. RNAcentral also lists the same sequence under 2 other names. The record is from RNAcentral. Lineage: Bacteria; Pseudomonadati; Pseudomonadota; Alphaproteobacteria.
GCGGACGUGGCGGAACUGGUAUACGCAACAGACUUAAAAUCUGUCGCCCGUAAGGGAUUGAGGGUUCAAAUCCCUCCGUCCGCACCA